GAGUUUGAUCCUGGCUCAGAUUGAACGCUGGCGGCAUGCCUAACACAUGCAAGUCGAACGGCAGCACUGGGAGCUUGCUCCCUGGUGGCGAGUGGCGGACGGGUGAGUAACGCGUAGGAAUCUGCCUCAUAGCGGGGGACAACUCGGGGAAACUCGAGCUAAUACCGCAUACUACUCGAGAGAGGAAAGCAGGGGACCUUCGGGCCUUGCACUAUGAGAUGAGCCUGCGUUGGAUUAGCUAGUUGG
Molecule: ribosomal RNA, 246 nt
Filed under: uncultured microorganism
Description: partial 16S ribosomal RNA
Rfam family: Bacterial small subunit ribosomal RNA
Source: RNAcentral